This 245-nucleotide ribosomal RNA is filed under the name uncultured bacterium. Its description in RNAcentral is "partial small subunit ribosomal RNA". It matches the Rfam family "Bacterial small subunit ribosomal RNA", at positions 26 to 285 of the family's 1533-position model. The record is from RNAcentral.
AGAAUCAACGCUGGCGGCGUGCCUAACACAUGCAAGUCGCACGAGAAAGGGACUUCGGUCCUGAGUACAGUGGCGCACGGGUGAGUAACACGUGACUAAUCUACCUUUGAGUGGGGAAUAACCUGGGGAAACCCGGGCUAAUACCGCAUAAUACCUACGGGUCAAAGCAGCAAUGCGCUUAAAGAGGAGGUCGCGGUCGAUUAGUUAGUUGGCGGGGUAAUGGCCCACCAAGACGAUGAUCGAUA